Molecule: long non-coding RNA, 1752 nt
Filed under: Homo sapiens (human)
Lineage: Eukaryota; Metazoa; Chordata; Mammalia; Primates; Hominidae
Description: HSALNT0368452
Source: RNAcentral
UCCCGGAAGGCGCACUAAAUUAGCCCUAAAGAUCGCUGGGAAUUGUAGUUUAAUCUUUCCAUCAGCGUUAAAUCAGGAAGUCUUGAGAAGUGAAAAGCCACAGCCUGAUUGUGGAGGCCAAGAAGUCCCACAGUCUCCCGCUCUGCUGUCUAUACACUGGAGAACCAGGAAAACAGGUGGUAUAAUUCAGGAAAGUCCAAAGCAGGGGAGGAGGCUCACUGCUAAGUCCCAGAGCCUGAAGGACGAAGAACCAGGAACUCCAAUGAUGUCCAAAGGCAGGACUUGUCUGAUCUCCUAUCAACAAAAACUUAAUGGGUGCAGUAGGAGCUUCAGGGAGCUGUGAGCAGUGACCUGCUGACAUCAAGGGGUCCCCUCAGCAUUGAAGACAGAAGAGGCAAAUGACAUUUCAUGUCCCACUUGGAAAGUCAAGGUGCAGAAAACAGAGGGGACCAGACUCCUUCAUAUCCUGCGCAGCGUCAUCUCCUGCCGCAAGAAGCACCCCACCUGCCGCAAGAAGCACUCCACCCGCAUGACUCAGUCUUUGCCCAGUAGGUUGAUGAUAACCUAAGAAGCUGAAGACCUCACAGGGGCUCUGAAAGCCAACUGAAGUAGAUGCAGCAAACUGUUCCAUCAUGUCAUCCUUCCCUCUGCCUUGGGUCACCAGCCAAGGGAGGGAGUGGCUCAGGUGUUUUCCUUUCCACCCCUUUGUAAGCCCCCACGCAGAUCUCCUCCCCAUCCCAGAAGCCCAAGGAGCCAGCAAUAUCUGUGGUUCCCUGAGGUUCGGAGAGACACAGUAGCAAAUAACUGUACCCAGGCCCCACUCCCCACUUCCAGGGAUGUAUAGCUUCGGGGUGUGGAGCACAGAGGACUUUUCCCAGAGCCUCACCCCAGAUGAACAGCCAACUUCCCUUUGUUCAGCCUUCCUCAGAUACUCAAACCCAGCAGCCCAUGGCCUUCUCUGUCAGGAAGUCCUUCCUGAUGUCUAACUUACAUCUUUCCUGCUGCUGUCUAUCCAGCCCUUAGCAGUGACAGGAGAGCAGUCUGAGCUCUAAUGAUCAGGGAAUGGGGACAAGAACAAGUACUUCCCUUCAAGCCUUGGGUAGGGGAGUAGUAAGCAAAGAAAGAAGAGUGGCUCACUCAGCCUCAUCUCUCCCGGCCUGUAGCAGUAGAAAUGGAGGGUAGACAACUGGAAGGACUUCCUAGCCAAGCAAAGGGAGGUACUUCUGGAAUAGGAUUAUAAAGUGCAAAGGCUGCGCCCUUUCUGAUGGCCUCCCAGCCUGGCAGAGACCCUUCAGUGGCAGCUUCAGAAGGAUAACCGGCACUUCCAGAAAAGCUCAGGGUGCUGGGAUUACUGGGAACCCUUGCAGCUCCAGCAAAAAGAAAAACCUGGUCCUGGAGCCCCCUUGUGGCCGUGCAGAGGCAGGACAGGCAGUUCCACCUCCCACCACCACACCCGUGCUUAGAGCUGGGGCCCAGGGUUGCUGAUGCAGAGGACAGGGAACCCAGGGCCCCACCUUCUGUGAGAGGCCAAAUCGGCAGCCCCAGCCCCGAGGGCACCUGAUCAGGAAGGAGUAGGGCCCAGAAGGAGCACUGGAAGAGGACACAGGCUAACCCCAUUCUGUUCCUAAUCUGCCGCUCUCCAUCUGGUGACCCUGGGCACACCUCCCCACAGAGCCUCAGUGACCUCAUUCAUUAAAAGGAAGAAAAAGCCGGGCACGGUGGCUCACACCUGUAAUCCCAGCACUUUGGGAG